This 497-nucleotide ribosomal RNA is filed under the name uncultured bacterium. RNAcentral describes it as "partial 16S ribosomal RNA". It matches the Rfam family "Bacterial small subunit ribosomal RNA", at positions 28 to 507 of the family's 1533-position model. The record is from RNAcentral.
GAUGAACGCUGGCGGCGUGCCUAAUACAUGCAAGUCGAGCGAACGGACGAGAAGCUUGCUUCUCUGAUGUUAGCGGCGGACGGGUGAGUAACACGUGGAUAACCUACCUAUAAGACUGGGAUAACUUCGGGAAACCGUAGCUAAUACCGGAUAAUAUUUUGAACCGCAUGGUUCAAAAGUGAAAGACGGUCUUGCUGUCACUUAUAGAUGGAUCCGCGCUGCAUUAGCUAGUUGGUAAGGUAACGGCUUACCAAGGCAACGAUGCAUAGCCGACCUGAGAGGGGGAUCGGCCACACUGGAACUGAGACACGGUCCAGACUCCUACGGGAGGCAGCAGUAGGGAAUCUUCCGCAAUGGGCGAAAGCCUGACGGAGCAACGCCGCGUGAGUGAUGAAGGUCUUCGGAUCGUAAAACUCUGUUAUUAGGGAAGAACAGAUGUGUAAGUAACUGUGCACAUCUUGACGGUACCUAAUCAGAAAGCCACGGCUAACUACGUG